GAUGAACGCUGGCGGCGUGCCUAAUACAUGCAAGUCGAGCGAACAGAUGAGGAGCUUGCUCCUCUGACGUUAGCGGCGGACGGGUGAGUAACACGUGGAUAACCUCCCUAUAAGACUGGGAUAACUUCGGGAAACCGGAGCUAAUACCGGAUAAUAUAUUGAACCGCAUGGUUCAAUAGUGAAAGACGGUUUUGCUGUCACUUAUAGAUGGAUCCGCGCCGCAUUAGCUAGUUGGUAAGGUAACGGCUUACCAAGGCGACGAUGCGUAGCCGACCUGAGAGGGUGAUCGGCCACACUGGAACUGAGACACGGUCCAGACUCCUACGGGAGGCAGCAGUGGGGAAUCUUCCGCAAUGGGCGAAAGCCUGACGGAGCAACGCCGCGUGAGUGAUGAAGGUCUUCGGGUCGUAAAACUCUGUUAUUAGGGAAGAACAAAUGUGUAAGUAACUAUGCACGUCUUGACGGUACCUAAUCAGAAAGCCACGGCUAACUACGUG
Molecule: ribosomal RNA, 497 nt
Filed under: uncultured bacterium
Lineage: Bacteria
Description: partial 16S ribosomal RNA
Rfam family: Bacterial small subunit ribosomal RNA
Source: RNAcentral